This is a non-coding RNA of Leucogyrophana mollusca, 128 nucleotides long. NCBI's taxonomy places the organism in Eukaryota, Fungi, Basidiomycota, Agaricomycetes, Boletales. The record is from the annotation of a GenBank genome assembly.
GGCCGACUAGCUCAGUUGGUUAGAGCGUGGUGCUAAUACAUGGUGAAAUGAUAGGCUCAAUCCUCAUCUAUUGGGCUUAUUGUUUCGCUGUUACGCCAAGGUCUUGGGUUCGAUCCCCACGUUGGCCA